GAAAAAAAUAAUAAAAUGGUAAAUGGAAAUCUACCCAUGUCAAUAAUUACAUGAAAUGCUAAUAACACUGAUUAUACAUCAGUUAAGAGAAAUUAUAGUUUAGGUAAAAAGUAAGAAUCGAGUGUUUGCUGUCUAACAGAACCCUAUUUUAGCUCUAAGGAAAGAGAUAGGCUAACAAUUUAAAAACAUUUUUAAAGGGUGUGCCAUAGAGGCCAUGUUCACAUCAGACACAGAGACUUCAGACCAAGACUGUUACCAGGGAUGGCAAGCAACACGACACCAGGGCAGUCCACCGAGUAGAUGUGACCGUCCUGCGUGUGUAAUCACUAAGCCACAGUUACAUGAAGAAACCAAAUAGAACUGAAAGAAGAAACUGAGCAAUCUGCAGUCAUAUGGGAAGAUCUCAACACUCUUUUCUAGUGAUGAGUUGAACAAGGAGACUGAAAAGCAGUAAGCAUGCAGAACCUGGACUGACGCUAGCUCACCUCAUUGACAUUUCAUCAAAAAACAACAGGAUGCCCAUUACUUUCCUGGGCCUCAGUGUUGAUCAUUUCUGUUGACCUGAGCUGACUGAUGUUCCUGCUGCUUUUCUCUGAUCCAUCUCCCAGCUGCAGAUUUGUAGGUAUCAGGGACUGUGUCAAGUUCUCUGAGUGCUUAAUGCCAAGCACCAGGAUUGGUAGAGAGGAAUUAUUCAGUCCAUGUUUUGGCUGGUGCAGCUUUUCAACAAGUAGUAGGAAAUAGACCUUCAAUUCAGGUCAUGUUCAGAUUUUCUGAAAAGGAGUGUGAGAAGAAUAGACAACUUAAAUUCUGCCCUUUAUCUCUAAUUGGUUUUGUUGGGAUGUGGAAGCCACCAUUUUUUUUUUUUUUUAACAGUGUUCAGAGGGUGAUGUCUACUUGUUGGAAAUUACUGACCUAAGAUAAAUAACCUAAGAAACAAAUGAAGCCUAACGUGUGGGCUGUGUUUCUUCCACAGUGACAAUAAAGGAGGAUGGUACCAACAAUAGCUAACUUUUACUUGGUGUUUGUUAUAAACCAUACCAACUUUCUAAUGCUUUGAUGCAUUCAACUCAUUUAGUCCUUUUAACAACUCUGCCUUUACUACAUUUUACAGAUAAAGAAAUAGAGGCACUGAGAGGUUAAUUAAUUUGCAGAAAUUGACUCUGCCUAUUAGUGGCCGAAUCAGGACUGAGCUCAGCAGCUUGGUUCUAUAGCUUGGGAUGUUGGCCAAGCCCUGUGCCUUCAUAGGCUGGCAAGGUGGGCUGGCACAGUAAGCAGGCCACAGCCAAACUUGUUUCAAAACAUCCUGGAGCAGGGGACAUGGAAACUGAGUGUUCGAGGCCCUGAAGGCUCAGACUAGGGUAGGCAUGUUAUUACCCAUGAUUUCUUUCUUUAUGUCUCUUCCCAGCUAAGAAUGGUUUUACAUUUAAAGGGUUUUAAAAAGAAUAAUCAGUAUUCACAAGAAGACAGCAUGUGACCCAAAAAUUUUCACUCACCCUUCGCGCACUCGCGCGGGCACACACACACACACACACACACACACUGAUCUUAGACCCUGAUACCUAGAAAGUGCAAGAGGUUAUAGGGGAGAGGGUUUGGAGAGAACAAGCAGAAGGCCAAAGGAGGUUCCUCUGUGUGGCCUGCUGAAAAUCUAGCCUUUAUCCUCAAGGCAGCUGGCAUACAGGCUCGAGUUUUAACCAAGAAGGAACAUACCCAGACUUUAACUGUAUUUAAUAGAUGAACAAACGAGAACAUUUUGUAGAGCUACCACUAUUUAAAUACUUAUUUAAAAAGAAUUGCCUUUUAUUUGUGAUUUUGGUGGUGUUGGGAAUAGAACCUGGGCCCUCUCAUACCUGGCACACACACUACCACUGAACUAUGCUCUUGUCCUGCCUUUUAUUUUUAAUUCUAAGAAUCUCCUGGGUAGUCGGUGAGUCAUUGCUUGAGCUAAUGAGGUUGGUUGAGUCUGGAAGCCUUCUUCAUGCUGAACGAGUGCUUGCAAAGGCAUCUGCAGCACAGGUAAACUGCUGUUUUCUUAGUGACAGUUCCAAGAGCUUCUUAAAGUAGAUAGAUAGCUGAGAAUCAGGAGUCCUGGGUCCCAGACCCUGCUCUGCUCCUGGCUUGUGUCCUCUGGCAGCUCCCUCCAGAGGCUACAGGCCCAGUGGUUAAUUGCAUGGGCCCAGCUUGCCAGCUGCCAC
This 2195-nucleotide long non-coding RNA is filed under the name Marmota monax (woodchuck). Lineage: Eukaryota; Metazoa; Chordata; Mammalia; Rodentia; Sciuridae. The record is from RNAcentral.